RNAcentral lists this ribosomal RNA (2449 nucleotides) under Salinivibrio sp. SS2. RNAcentral's name for it is "bacterial LSU rRNA". It matches the Rfam family "Bacterial large subunit ribosomal RNA", at positions 402 to 2838 of the family's 2925-position model. The record is from RNAcentral. Lineage: Bacteria; Pseudomonadati; Pseudomonadota; Gammaproteobacteria; Vibrionales; Vibrionaceae.
AUUGUCUGGUGUUUAUCAGUCGUGUUAUGUUUUGUCUGCACAUGGGGGACCAUCCUCCAAGGCUAACAUCCUGACUGAACCGAUAGUGAACCAGUACCGUAGAGGGAAAGGCGAAAAGAACCCCUGUGAGGGGAGUGAAAUAGAACCUGAAACCGUCUACGUACAAGCAGUGGGAGCCUCCUUUGUGGGGUGACCGCGUACCUUUUGUAUAAUGGGUCAGCGACUUAAUGUUAGUAGCAAGGUUAACCGCAUAGGGGAGCCGUAGGGAAACCGAGUCUUAACUGGGCGUCCAGUUGCUAGCAUUAGACCCGAAACCGAGUGAUCUAGCCAUGGGCAGGUUGAAGGUUGAGUAACAUCAACUGGAGGACCGAACUCACUAACGUUGAAAAGUUAGGAGAUGACCUGUGGCUAGGGGUGAAAGGCCAAUCAAACUCGGAGAUAGCUGGUUCUCCCCGAAAGCUAUUUAGGUAGCGCCUCGGACGAAUACUACUGGGGGUAGAGCACUGUUAAGGCUAGGGGGUCAUCCCGACUUACCAACCCUUUGCAAACUCCGAAUACCAGUAAGUACUAUCCGGGAGACACACGGCGGGUGCUAACGUCCGUCGUGGAGAGGGAAACAACCCAGACCGCCAGCUAAGGUCCCAAAGUUAUCGCUAAGUGGGAAACGAUGUGGGAAGGCUCAGACAGCCAGGAUGUUGGCUUAGAAGCAGCCAUCAUUUAAAGAAAGCGUAAUAGCUCACUGGUCGAGUCGGCCUGCGCGGAAGAUGUAACGGGGCUAAGCGAUACACCGAAGCUGCGGCAAUGUCCUUAUGGAUAUUGGGUAGGGGAGCGUUGUGUAAGCCGUUGAAGGUGUGCUGAGAGGCAUGCUGGAGGUAUCACAAGUGCGAAUGCUGACAUGAGUAACGAUAAAGGGGGUGAAAAACCUCCUCGCCGGAAGACCAAGGGUUCCUGUCCAACGUUAAUCGGGGCAGGGUAAGUCGGCCCCUAAGGCGAGGCCGAAAGGCGUAGUCGAUGGGAAACGGGUUAAUAUUCCCGUACUGCUGCUUACUGCGAUGGGGGGACGGAGAAGGCUAGGUGGGCCUGGCGAUGGUAGUCCAGGUUCAAGUGCGUAGGCUGAUUUCUUAGGCAAAUCCGGGAAAUCAAGGCCGAGACACGAUGUCGAGCCACCAAGGUGGUGAAGUCAUUGAUGCCAUGCUUCCGGGAAAAGCCUCUAAGCUUCAGGUAAGUAGCAACCGUACUCCAAACCGACACAGGUGGUCGGGUAGAGAAUACCAAGGCGCUUGAGAGAACUCGGGUGAAGGAACUAGGCAAAAUGGUACCGUAACUUCGGGAGAAGGUACGCUGCCCGCGGUGAAGUCCCUUGCGGAUGGAGCUAUGGGCAGUCGCAGAUACCAGGUGGCUGCAACUGUUUAUUAAAAACACAGCACUGUGCAAAAUCGAAAGAUGACGUAUACGGUGUGACGCCUGCCCGGUGCCGGAAGGUUAAUUGAUGUGGUUAUCGCAAGAGAAGCCAUUGAUCGAAGCCCCGGUAAACGGCGGCCGUAACUAUAACGGUCCUAAGGUAGCGAAAUUCCUUGUCGGGUAAGUUCCGACCUGCACGAAUGGCGUAAUGAUGGCCACGCUGUCUCCACCCGAGACUCAGUGAAAUUGAAAUCGCAGUGAAGAUGCUGUGUACCCGCGGCUAGACGGAAAGACCCCGUGAACCUUUACUACAGCUUGGCACUGAACAUUGAGCCUACAUGUGUAGGAUAGGUGGGAGGCUUUGAAGCGGCGACGCCAGUUGCUGUGGAGCCAUCCUUGAAAUACCACCCUUGUAUGUUUGAUGUUCUAACUUAGCCCCGUUAUCCGGGGUGAGGACAGUGCCUGGUGGGUAGUUUGACUGGGGCGGUCUCCUCCCAAAGAGUAACGGAGGAGCACGAAGGUGGGCUAAUCACGGUCGGACAUCGUGAGGUUAGUGCAAUGGCAUAAGCCCGCUUAACUGCGAGAGUGACGGCUCGAGCAGGUACGAAAGUAGGUCAUAGUGAUCCGGUGGUUCUGAAUGGAAGGGCCAUCGCUCAACGGAUAAAAGGUACUCCGGGGAUAACAGGCUGAUACCGCCCAAGAGUUCAUAUCGACGGCGGUGUUUGGCACCUCGAUGUCGGCUCAUCACAUCCUGGGGCUGAAGUCGGUCCCAAGGGUAUGGCUGUUCGCCAUUUAAAGUGGUACGCGAGCUGGGUUUAGAACGUCGUGAGACAGUUCGGUCCCUAUCUGCCGUGGGCGUUGGAUGAUUGAGGGGAGCUGCUCCUAGUACGAGAGGACCGGAGUGGACGAACCGCUGGUGUUCGGGUUGUGUCGCCAGACGCAUUGCCCGGUAGCUAAGUUCGGCACAGAUAAGCGCUGAAAGCAUCUAAGCGCGAAGCUGGCCCCGAGAUGAGUCAUCCCUAGAGCUUCGAGCUCUCUAAAGGGUUGU